This is a non-coding RNA of Amborella trichopoda, 1159 nucleotides long. The record is from RefSeq and is a predicted model, not a curated record. NCBI's taxonomy places the organism in Eukaryota, Viridiplantae, Streptophyta, Magnoliopsida, Amborellales, Amborellaceae.
UGUGUUACUCAAUCUACACUGUAGCAUGCCUGCUUGUAAAUGUGCUUGUAUGAUUAUCUGCUUAUCCAGAAGUUAAAUCCUGAGAACAGGCAGAUAUCGAGAUUGGUAGUGGCGUUCCAGAUAUAAGGACAUCAGGGAAUAUUAAUGAAGCAUUGAUAGAAGCUGGAUUUGAGGUUUUGUGGCAGAAGGAUGUGGCAGCUGGUUCACCUGUACCUUGGUACCUGCCCUUGGACAAUAGUACCUUUUCGUUCAGCAGCUUUCGUGCAGCCGCACCCGGUCGAUUUGUCACGCACUAGUUGGUGAAAUUUCUAGAGUAUAUUCAUAUUGCACCUGAAGGAAGUCACAAAGUGUCAUCCUUCUUGGAGACGGCAGCAAAAGGGCUUGUUCAAGGUGGAAAGUAAGUAACAUCAAAAUUCCCAUAUUCUUCCAACCAUGAUAUCUGUUCUCGACUGUAUACUAUACUCCCACAGGAGUAUUACUGUGCAUCUACUCCGUCACUCAAAACAUCUACUCAGGAGGAUUUCUUCCGUCUUAAAUUUUGGGAACCAAAUUAGCAUCACUAUAUGACUUUUGAGUUUCAAACACUUGGAUCUUGCCCUUCAAAAAAUGAACGACCUAUGUUAAAUCUUGAGUUUUUUUUUUUUUCCUGCUAGUAUUUAGAGAGCUUUGGAUUUUUUUUUUAACUGAGAUUAGUGUAUAUAUUGUAGAGGCCACCUUCGCAAAACUAGGUGUGCUGAAAUUACUCCUGUAGUCAUUGCCCAAGGGAGUAAAUGGAUAAUACGCUCCUGCAGGAGUAUAAAAUCUUUUAGGUUCUGGAUAUGAAGACAUGAUGGUUCGGAAGUUAAGCGUGUUCUGGCGGGUCCACCAAAAAUGGUGCUCAACACAUCUGAAAGACCAGGGCACCCAAAAUUGUUUCACGACCCAUAUUUGACUCAGUUGAUAUUAAGCUCCAAAAAACCUCCACAUCCAUUGAUCUAUUGAAUUGAACGCUCCAUAUUUAAUAUUAAAACCACAGUAGGUUUUGAGGCAUUUGUGCGGCUCCAAAUAUUUCAUCAAUCCAUUAGGGAAAAAGUUAAUGUAAGGUUGCAGCCUGCAACUUCAAAAAAAAAUCUAUAUAAGAUUGUGGCCACACAAUGUAGAAUUAAAGAUCCACCUUAAA